UCGGGUCUUACGCAGGCACCCGGUCCCAAAAGACGAUUUCGUCUCAAGCGCUGC
RNAcentral lists this non-coding RNA (54 nucleotides) under unclassified sequences. RNAcentral's name for it is "chromate-resist RNA". It matches the Rfam family "chrB-b RNA". The record is from RNAcentral.